GUGGGAAGGAGGCUUGUUUAAACUACGGAUGCUGUUCAAAGACGAUUAACCAUCCUCACCUCCGAAAUGCAAGUUUGAACCACCGUUAUUUCAUCCGAACGUGUACCCCUCGGGCACAGUGUGCCUGUCCAUCCUGGAGGAGGACAAGGACUGGAGGCCGGCCAUCACGAUUAAGCAGAUCUUAUUAGGAAUACAGGAACUUCUAAAUGAACCAAAUAUCCAAGACCCAGCUCAAGCAGAGGCCUACACGAUCUACUGCCAAAACAGAGUGGAAUACGAGAAAAGGGUUCGAGCACAAGCCAAGAAGUUUGCUCCCUCAUAAGCAGCGACCUGUGGCAUCAUAAAAAGGAAGGGAUUGGUGUGGCAAGAACUUGUUUACAACAUUUUUGCAAAUCUAACGUUGCUCUCUACAAUUACUGGUCACCUGGGGAGGGUUGGGCGGGCGCCAUUUUCCAUUUCCGCCACUGGUACAGUCUCGGCUCGCUGAAUCGCCCAGUUUUUCAUACAGGGUCUCUUCCUUCAGUCUUUUGUAUUUUUGAUUGUUAUGUAAAACUUGCUUUUAUUUUAAUAUUGAUGUCAGUAUUUCAACUGCUGUAAAAUUAUAAACUUUUAUACUUCAAUGAG
Molecule: long non-coding RNA, 624 nt
Organism: Physeter macrocephalus (sperm whale)
Lineage: Eukaryota; Metazoa; Chordata; Mammalia; Artiodactyla; Physeteridae
Exons: 2
Source: RefSeq, a predicted model, not a curated record